Molecule: ribosomal RNA, 484 nt
Filed under: uncultured bacterium
Lineage: Bacteria
Description: bacterial SSU rRNA
Rfam family: Bacterial small subunit ribosomal RNA
Source: RNAcentral
GAUCAUGGCUCAGGAUGAACGCUGGCGGCGUGCCUAACACAUUCAAGUCGAACGAACUGUAGAAAUACAGUGAGUGGCGGACGGGUGAGUAACGCGUAAGCAAUCUGCCUUUGUGUGUGGAAUAACAACCGGAAACAGUUGCUAAUACCGCAUAACGCAUAGGAGUCGCAUGGCUCUUAUGCCAAAGAUUUAUCGCACGAAGAUGAGCUUGCGUCCGAUUAGAUAGUUGGCGGGGUAACGGCCCACCAAGUCUACGAUCGGUAGCCGGACUGAGAGGUUGAACGGCCACAUUGGAACUGAGAUACGGUCCAGACUCCUACGGGAGGCAGCAGUGGGGAAUAUUGGGCAAUGGACGAAAGUCUGAACCCCCAGCGACGCCGCGUGAGGGAAGAAGGUCUUCGGAUUGUAAACCUUAGUCAACAGGGACGAAGCAAGUGACGGUACCUGUGGAGGAAGCCACGGCUAACUACGUGCCAGCCGCAGC